Molecule: long non-coding RNA, 354 nt
Organism: Doryrhamphus excisus (bluestripe pipefish)
Lineage: Eukaryota; Metazoa; Chordata; Actinopteri; Syngnathiformes; Syngnathidae
Source: RefSeq, a predicted model, not a curated record
UUUCAUUAAAUGGACAUUUGAAUCAGCUGCAUAACACUGUUUAAAGACACUCGACAUGCUAUUUUGUCGCUAGAUUGAGCUUUUUUUUUGUUUUUUGAGCUUGCACAGCAUCUACAAUGUCCCAGUCUAGUGAUGAGCACACUCCUACAGUCACAACGGACCUGGAUGAUGUUCAAGUGAAAAUGUGGAUUGCUUCCGACAAAAUAACCCUGUGCAACAAGAUCCUGGAUGAUUUGAAAGACCUGGAUGGUGUCAUAAAGAUGAAAUCUCUCCAGGAUGUCACCCUGCUGCCACAAAAUGAACCCAAGUGAUUUCAUGUUGAAAUGAUAAUAAAAAUGCACACAUUUGCUGUGA